This 490-nucleotide ribosomal RNA is filed under the name uncultured bacterium. Its description in RNAcentral is "partial 16S ribosomal RNA". It matches the Rfam family "Bacterial small subunit ribosomal RNA", at positions 29 to 507 of the family's 1533-position model. The record is from RNAcentral.
AGUGAACGCUGGCGGUAGGCCUAACACAUGCAAGUCGAACGGCAGCACAGGAGAGCUUGCUCUCUGGGUGGCGAGUGGCGGACGGGUGAGGAAUACAUCGGAAUCUGCCCAGUCGUGAGGGAUAACGUAGGGAAACUUACGCUAAUACCGCAUACGACCUUCGGGUGAAAGAGGGGGAUCGCAAGACCUCUCGCGAUUGGAUGAGCCGAUGUCGGAUUAGCUAGUUGGCGGGGUAAUGGCCCACCAAGGCGACGAUCCGUAGCUGGUCUGAGAGGAUGAUCAGCCACACUGGAACUGAGACACGGUCCAGACUCCUACGGGAGGCAGCAGUGGGGAAUAUUGGACAAUGGGCGCAAGCCUGAUCCAGCCAUACCGCGUGGGUGAAGAAGGCCUUCGGGUUGUAAAGCCCUUUUGUUGGGAAAGAAAUCUUUCAGGCUAAUACCCUGGGAGGAUGACGGUACCCAAAGAAUAAGCACCGGCUAACUUCGUG